Molecule: non-coding RNA, 88 nt
Organism: Desarmillaria ectypa
Lineage: Eukaryota; Fungi; Basidiomycota; Agaricomycetes; Agaricales; Physalacriaceae
Source: the annotation of a GenBank genome assembly
UCGGAUAUGGUGUAACGGCUAACAUUGCCGCCUCUCAUCUAUUGUUCCUGAAUCGCGGCAGCUCGGGGUUCGAUUCCCCGUAUCCGAA